RNAcentral lists this ribosomal RNA (212 nucleotides) under uncultured bacterium. RNAcentral's name for it is "partial 16S ribosomal RNA". It matches the Rfam family "Bacterial small subunit ribosomal RNA", at positions 1289 to 1500 of the family's 1533-position model. The record is from RNAcentral.
CAGUUCGGAUUGUAGUCUGCAACCCGACUACAUGAAGCUGGAAUCGCUAGUAAUCGCGAAUCAGAAUGUCGCGGUGAAUACGUUCCCGGGUCUUGUACACACCGCCCGUCACACCAUGGGAGUCGGAAAUGCCCGAAGUCAGUGACCCAACCGUAAGGAGGGAGCUGCCGAAGGUGGAGCCGGUAACUGGGGUGAAGUCGUAACAAGGUAUC